UUUCAGGGCUGACACUUUCUAUUGGAUAACCAAUGAGAGUGCUUAUUCUGCCAAAGGCUAAUUUUCCCUCUCCUAGCAGCCAGUAGUUGCAUGGAGUUAUUUGUCUAGCGGUGAGGACCCCAGGAAUCUCCCCCCUUUCCUGUUAACACAUGUACUGAUUUCACCUGUUUCACUCUUGUUUGUGCAGUUGUUUCUAGGAAAGUCUGUUUUCCUUGUUUUCAAACCUGCGCUCAUUGCAACACUUGUGAAAUGUACUGUAUUCUAUUGUAUCCACAAAGGAGACUCUCUACAGUUCUGAACUCAUUCGUUUUUCCCAAUGUCCUCUGAUUUGCCAACUUUUUCUCAUAGUCUCUGCAGAACCUAUACGACUAAGAUCCACAGAUUCUUCAUACACCCUGGACAGAACACUGUAACGGUGGAAGCAUCUCCCAUUUACAUGUGGAAGAAGUCCUGGGAACAAGGCGACAGAAGUCCUGAGAUUAGAAGUGUUCAGCAAAUGUCAGAUGUGACUCAUCUAGUCAUGAAACCCAUAUGGGGACAGUUUUCUCCAGCUAUUGGAGAAAUAGGAACUUGUUCCACUAUUGCUGACUUUAUAGCUAGAGAAAGUCACAACAAGCAACAAGGGAGGAGUGACCGAUGAUGAUGUGUACAAUACAGAUUUAAUGUAAUCAUCAAAACCUAUACUUGAAAUAAAUGGGUUGUGUGUUUACCAUGGAAAAGUUAACAAAAACAUUGGAGAAAAUAUGUGGAACCAGAUGAUUCGUG
This 765-nucleotide long non-coding RNA is filed under the name Cricetulus griseus (Chinese hamster). RNAcentral's name for it is "lncRNA (ENSCGRG00015014650.2)". Lineage: Eukaryota; Metazoa; Chordata; Mammalia; Rodentia; Cricetidae. The record is from RNAcentral.